This 484-nucleotide ribosomal RNA is filed under the name uncultured bacterium. RNAcentral's name for it is "partial 16S ribosomal RNA". It matches the Rfam family "Bacterial small subunit ribosomal RNA", at positions 30 to 505 of the family's 1533-position model. The record is from RNAcentral.
AUUGAACGCUGGCGGUAUGCCUUACACAUGCAAGUCGAACGGCAGCACGGGUGCUUGCACCUGGUGGCGAGUGGCGAACGGGUGAGUAAUACAUCGGAACAUGUCCUGUAGUGGGGGAUAGCCCGGCGAAAGCCGGAUUAAUACCGCAUACGAUCUACGGAUGAAAGCGGGGGACCUUCGGGCCUCGCGCUAUAGGGUUGGCCGAUGGCGGAUUAGCUAGUUGGUGGGGUAAAGGCCUACCAAGGCGACGAUCAGUAGCUGGUCUGAGAGGACGAGCAGCCACACUAGUGCUGAGACACGGCCCAGACUCCUACGAGAGGCAGCAGUGGGGAAUUUUAGACAAUGGGCGAAAGCCUGAUCCAGCAAUGCCGCGGGUGUGAAGAAGGCCUUCGGGUUGUAAAGCACUUUUGUCCGGAAAGAAAUCCUUGGCCCUAAUACGGUCGGGGGAUGACGGUACCGGAAGAAUAAGCACCGGCUAACUACG